ACUCGAGUGGCGAACGGGUGAGUAACACGUGGGUGAUCUGCCCUGCACUUCGGGAUAAGCUUGGGAAACUGGGUCUAAUACCGGAUAGGAGCCAUCCUUAGUGUGGUGGUUGGAAAGUUUUUUCGGUGUAGGAUGAGCUCGCGGCCUAUCAGCUUGUUGGUGGGGUAAUGGCCUACCAAGGCGGCGACGGGUAGCCGGCCUGAGAGGGUGUACGGCCACAUUGGGACUGAGAUACGGCCCAG
RNAcentral lists this ribosomal RNA (242 nucleotides) under uncultured Actinomycetales bacterium. Its description in RNAcentral is "partial 16S ribosomal RNA". It matches the Rfam family "Bacterial small subunit ribosomal RNA", at positions 89 to 334 of the family's 1533-position model. The record is from RNAcentral. Lineage: Bacteria; Bacillati; Actinomycetota; Actinomycetes; Actinomycetales.